Molecule: ribosomal RNA, 254 nt
Filed under: uncultured bacterium
Lineage: Bacteria
Description: partial 16S ribosomal RNA
Rfam family: Bacterial small subunit ribosomal RNA
Source: RNAcentral
UACGAAGGGGGCUAGCGUUGUUCGGAAUCACUGGGCGUAAAGCGCACGUAGGCGGGUCGUUAAGUCAGGGGUGAAAUCCCGAGGCUCAACCUCGGAACUGCCUUUGAUACUGGCGACCUUUGAGUCCGGGAGAGGUGAGUGGAACUCCGAGUGUAGAGGUGAAAUUCGUAGAUAUUGGGAAGAACACCGGUGGCGAAGGCGGCUCUCUGGACCGAUACUGACGCUGAGGCGCGAAAGCGUGGGGAGCAAACAGG